AUUUUAUUUUUUAGCAAUGGUUGCCUACCUGCGUAGGCAUUAAAAAGGGAAUCUGGUGAAAUUCCAGAACUGUCCCGCAGCUGUAAGCUUUUUGAUGAAGCCCAAUAAUUGGUCACUUUCUUUUUUAGAUGGGAAGGCCGGGUGGAUAAAGCAAGUCAGAAUACCUGCCAUUUCUUUUUAAUUCAU
Molecule: non-coding RNA, 186 nt
Filed under: Salegentibacter echinorum
Lineage: Bacteria; Pseudomonadati; Bacteroidota; Flavobacteriia; Flavobacteriales; Flavobacteriaceae
Source: RNAcentral